Molecule: long non-coding RNA, 868 nt
Filed under: Bos taurus (domestic cattle)
Lineage: Eukaryota; Metazoa; Chordata; Mammalia; Artiodactyla; Bovidae
Description: long non-coding RNA NONBTAT015950
Source: RNAcentral
GCGGUGGGUAAAAGUCCUCAAGUAUCAUCCUUUAAAGGGUCUAAGUCAGUUCCAUUCAUAGAGGAGUUGAAUUAUCUUGUACAAAGUUUAAUCAAUACUUAGCCAUGUCAGUCGGCUACUUUCAGCGGAUGCAGGAAAAGGUCAAUAGAGCCACUCAUGUGCCCAUAUCUCAUUGAAAUACACAAUACGUUGUUUUUCCUCAUCAUGAAAGUGGUGCAUCUCAUGUAUAGAACAUUAUAAACAUUACAGGUGAGCCAGACCUUUCUAAACAGGUAUAAAUCCUGUAGAUUGAGUAGUAUACUCCUCUUUCAGUACUAAAUGUGAUUCCAUCUCGGCAGCCAGGAAUUGGAGCUUUAUCUUCAUCUCUCUUUCUGAUGCACCUUUUGAAAUGAGUGCUCCAAACUGCAGCAUGACCCCAGGAUGGCCAAACUCACUCCCUGAGCCAGCAGGACCCUUACACUGUGUGCGUUUUGAGUCAGUCAGAGGAACUCAGAUUAAAAGGCUAUCAUUCUUUGGAGGCAAGCUAACAUGUGGCCGGUGACUUCGCAAAGGCUACUGUUACUCUGAAAUCAGGAGGCCAGGCUGGGACCCUCUGAUCCAUGUCCCAGGGAGCGGGAGAAAGGGCACUCGGGGUGCAGUUCACACGCACGAGAGCUAUUCAGACAAGUUCUCUGUUAUUUGCGCUCCCGUCUCUUUUUUUAAGGAAAGAGUCUGCAGCUAACAUAACAGGGUGUGCUAGACUGAAGCACACUCUCUCUCCACAUUACAGGCGAGGAGGGACUGUGGGGUGAGAGGAGAGAGCCUGUUUUCUGAGGAUUUGUGUUCCUCGGAUGAUAGACACCCAGCCAGAGUUGGGUAGUUUCUAGUU